RNAcentral lists this ribosomal RNA (200 nucleotides) under uncultured bacterium. Its description in RNAcentral is "partial 16S ribosomal RNA". It matches the Rfam family "Bacterial small subunit ribosomal RNA", at positions 30 to 230 of the family's 1533-position model. The record is from RNAcentral.
AUUGAACGCUGGCGGCAGGCCUAACACAUGCAGGUCGAGCGGUAGAGAGAAGCUUGCUUCUCUUGAGAGCGGCGGACGGGUGAGUAAUGCCUAGGAAUCUGCCUGGUAGUGGGGGAUAACGCUCGGAAACGGACGCUAAUACCGCAUACGUCCUACGGGAGAAAGCAGGGGACCUUCGGGCCUUGCGCUAUCAGAUGAGC